This is a long non-coding RNA of Felis catus (domestic cat), 1578 nucleotides long. RefSeq lists it as uncharacterized. The record is from RefSeq and is a predicted model, not a curated record. The transcript has 3 exons. Lineage: Eukaryota; Metazoa; Chordata; Mammalia; Carnivora; Felidae.
UCUCCACUGUCCUAUCAAAAUCCUCUUCAUCCUUUAAAGGUGAAUCUGGGAGCUGAUAAAUCUCUUUUUUAUUUUAGUCAGAAUUUUUUGUUUGAAUAGUAGCUUUCAGUAUAUGAUUUUUAUUUUCAUUUUAUGUAUGUAUGUAUGUAUGUAAUCUCUGCACCCAGUAUGGGACUCAAACUCAUGACCUCAAGACCAAGAGUCACAUGCUACUGACUGAGUCAUCCAGGCACCCCAAUGUAUGAUUUUUAAAAAACUGAUUUUAAUUGAAAUAACAUACAGAAUAGUACACAAAUCACAGAUAAGUUUUCUCAAAGUGAACACACUUGUUUACCACCCAGUGAAGAUAUAAAACCUUAUCUAAAAGCAUGUAUAUUCUUUCCUAUGUUCUGUCUUGAUGACCAGGGAAUUUAGGCCCAGCCUUACUUUUGGACUUACUUUUUUCCCUCUGUGUGGGAUGUCCUUUCCCUUUUGAUGGGUUUUCAGAAAAUAGAAAGAAGAAUUCCAGUUUUUCUUUAAACAAGAAGAGAAUUUAGGACUUGAAAUUAAAACGAUGCAUGUUGCAACAGAACUGUUACACGUCUAUAGAUAAAGACCAAACAGCAGCUGGGUAAACUAUCAAGGGAUCCCCGCACAGUCCACCUAUCAGGUUACACAGUUGAGGGGCUUGUUCUGAAGUAGAGCCUCAGAAGACAAAUCAGAGGCUGAGUCCCCAUUACUGAGAGGACAUAUGGACCCACAGAACUUGCUAUGAGAAAGUCUUCUGUCUCUGACAACUCUAACCAAUGCCGUGAUUCAGUUUAAUAGUUUUUGUUGAACUGGAAGACUGUCAAAAUGGCUUCCGGACAAUUGUCUGUCCAAGUACAUGAUACGUUAAUCUUUCAAGUCAAUGGGAAGCAUACUUAAAGUAUAAAAUGGCCGCAUGUCAGGUGACAGGGAAAAUCCACGAUUAGCUAUUGCUACUGCAAUUCUGCAACUCACCUUGUCACAGUGAUUAGUCUAUGAAUGACACUUAAAUAAAGCCUAAACCAAUCAAUGCUUUUUUUUUUCUUUCUUUUUUUUAGGACUAGUGAUUGACUCAAAGUGGAUGCGUGACUUAAAUUGUUCCAAUUGGAGUGAAGCACAGAAGCCGAGGCCUUCUUCAGGGAGCUAAAUACUUAUACCUGGCCCAGGAGUUGGAGACUUUGAAAGAGGAUCCAAGGGAGGUUAGAGCAGCUGCAAAGCCAGCAGGAGCAAUCCAGAGAAGAGUCAGAAUAUGUGUAAGAGGAGUCCUAUCUGGAGAAGAAGAAGAAGGUGGAGGAGGAGGAGAAGAAUGAGAAGGAGAAGAAGGAGAAAGAGAAGGAGAAGAAGAAGGAGAAGAAGAAGAAGAAGAAGAAGAAGAAGAAGAAGAAGAAGAAGAAGGAGAAAGUCCUCUGACUUAGUGGAAACAAGGAAUCAGAUAUGCGUGUAUUUCAAGAUAAAAAUCUCAUGAGCAUGGGGUUGAGGAUAAAGUUGAAAGUAGAGUAGAUUUUCUGUCAUUGGAAAAGACAAUAUGGGUGUGAUCCUACCAGAAUAAAACAUGGUAAUGUGAUAGGGAAA